AAACUGGGGAUUAGAUACCCCACUAUGCCUGGCCAUAAACUUCGGAUUUUUCCCGCCAGAAUAUUACGAGCCACAGCUUAAAAUUCAAAGGACUUGGCGGUGCCUUACAUCCACCUAGAGGAGCCUGUUCUUUAAUUGAUACCCCCCAAUAAACCUCACCACCUCUUGUAAAUUCAGCCUAUAUACCACCGUCACAAGCCCACCUCACCAGAGAACAAUAGUAGGCUAAAUAAUUUUAAAUUAAAAAGUCAGGUCAAGGUGUAGCAAACGAGUUGGAAAGAAAUUGGCUACAUUUUCUUUUUAAAAAAUACGAAGUGUUUCGUGAAAUAAAACAUGAAGGAGGAUUUAGUAGUAAAAAGAAAAUAGAGUGUUCUUUUUAAAAUUGGCAAUAAGGCGAGCACACACCGCCCGUCACCCUCUUAGUACAAAUAAGCUAAAAUAUAAUAAUUACAUUUAAAAUAGAGGAAAGUCGUAACAUGGUAAGCGCACA
RNAcentral lists this ribosomal RNA (490 nucleotides) under Bolitoglossa lincolni (Lincoln's mushroomtongue salamander). Its description in RNAcentral is "partial 12S ribosomal RNA". It matches the Rfam family "Bacterial small subunit ribosomal RNA", at positions 769 to 1506 of the family's 1533-position model. Lineage: Eukaryota; Metazoa; Chordata; Amphibia; Caudata; Plethodontidae. The record is from RNAcentral.